AGAGAGCUUGCUCUCGGGUGACGAGCGGCGGACGGGUGAGUAAUGUCUGGGAAACUGCCUGAUGGAGGGGGAUAACUACUGGAAACGGUAGCUAAUACCGCAUAAUGUCGCAAGACCAAAGAGGGGGACCUUCGGGCCUCUUGCCAUCAGAUGUGCCCAGAUGGGAUUAGCUAGUAGGUGGGGUAAUGGCUCACCUAGGCGACGAUCCCUAGCUGGUCUGAGAGGAUGACCAGCCACACUGGAACUGAGACACGGUCCAGACUCCUACGGGAGGCAGCAGUGGGGAAUAUUGCACAAUGGGCGCAAGCCUGAUGCAGCCAUGCCGCGUGUAUGAAGAAGGCCUUCGGGUUGUAAAGUACUUUCAGCGAGGAGGAAGGCAUUGUGGUUAAUAACCACAGUGAUUGACGUUACUCGCAGAAGAAGCACCGGCUAACUCCGUGCCAGCAGCCGCGGUAAUACGGAGGGUGCAAGCGUUAAUCGGAAUUACUGGGCGUAAAGCGCACGCAGGCGGUCUGUCAAGUCGGAUGUGAAAUCCCCGGGCUCAACCUGGGAACUGCAUUCGAAACUGGCAGGCUAGAGUCUUGUAGAGGGGGGUAGAAUUCCAGGUG
RNAcentral lists this ribosomal RNA (608 nucleotides) under uncultured Gammaproteobacteria bacterium. Its description in RNAcentral is "bacterial SSU rRNA". It matches the Rfam family "Bacterial small subunit ribosomal RNA", at positions 73 to 675 of the family's 1533-position model. The record is from RNAcentral. Lineage: Bacteria; Pseudomonadati; Pseudomonadota; Gammaproteobacteria.